Molecule: ribosomal RNA, 530 nt
Filed under: uncultured delta proteobacterium
Lineage: Bacteria; Deltaproteobacteria
Description: bacterial SSU rRNA
Rfam family: Bacterial small subunit ribosomal RNA
Source: RNAcentral
GGGUCUGCGUCCCAUUAGCUUGUUGGCGGGGUAACGGCCCACCAAGGCAUCGAUGGGUAGCCGAUUUGAGAGGAUGAUCGGCCACACUGGAACUGAAACACGGUCCGGACUCCUACGGGAGGCAGCAGUGGGGAAUAUUGCGCAAUGGGCGAAAGCCUGACGCAGCGACGCCGCGUGAGGGAUGAAGGUUUUCGGAUCGUAAACCUCUGUCAGAAGGGAAGAAACUACGUUGUGCUAAUCAGCAGCGUACUGACGGUACCUUCAAAGGAAGCACCGGCUAACUCCGUGCCAGCAGCCGCGGUAAUACGGAGGGUGCAAGCGUUAAUCGGAAUUACUGGGCGUAAAGCGCACGUAGGCUGUAGUGUAAGUCAGGGGUGAAAUCCCACGGCUCAACCGUGGAACUGCCUUUGAUACUGCACAACUUGAAUCCGGGAGAGGGUGGCGGAAUUCCAGGUGUAGGAGUGAAAUCCGUAGAUAUCUGGAGGAACAUCAGUGGCGAAGGCGGSCACCUGGACCGGUAUUGACGCUGA